Molecule: ribosomal RNA, 142 nt
Filed under: uncultured Streptococcus sp.
Lineage: Bacteria; Bacillati; Bacillota; Bacilli; Lactobacillales; Streptococcaceae
Description: partial 16S ribosomal RNA
Rfam family: Bacterial small subunit ribosomal RNA
Source: RNAcentral
UGUUUAACUUGAGUGCAGAAGGGGAGAGAGAAUUCCAUGUGUAGCGGUGAAAUGCGUAGAUAUAGGGAGGAACACCGGUGGGGAAAGCGGCUCUCUGGUCUGUAACUGACGCUGAGGCUCGAAAGCGUGGGGAGCGAACAGG